This 873-nucleotide small RNA is filed under the name Pan troglodytes (chimpanzee). RNAcentral describes it as "retained intron". Lineage: Eukaryota; Metazoa; Chordata; Mammalia; Primates; Hominidae. The record is from RNAcentral.
GCCGAUUCCGAAGACUGUGGGGCGGAUCAAGCUAGACUGCCCUCUACGGCCCAGCUGCCCACUGGAGGUCGCUGCUGUACCCAAACUUUGCAAGGAAUUCGGUCCAGAGGAUUACGGCGAAGAGGACAUAGUGGAUUUUCUUCGACGGCUUGUGGAGAGUGAUCCCCAGGGCCUGCACCGGAUCCAUGUGGAUGGGAGCAGCGGGCGGCUGCAGCUGUGGCACCAUGGUGGGGAGUGCAGGGACCGGGCCCAGGGAUCGAGGCUGGUACCCUGGGAGGGCUGACCCUCAGAUGCACCCCUCUCUCAUGUUCUUUCUUUCCUGUCUCUUUCUCCCUCCUGACAGAUUACCUCCUGGGCCACUUGGAUGAUGAAGGGAAAUCAACUGGACAGAGUGACAGGGGCAAGGGGGCUGAGGGACUGGGCACCUACUGUGGUCUCCGCAAGUCCUUCCUGUAUCCUCCCCAAGAGUCUGAGCCCUGCCCUCAAAGCCCCUCUGCCUCUGCCACCUUCCCCAGUGUCUCAGACAGCCUGCUUCAGGUGGCCAUGCCCCAGAAGCUCCUGGUGACAGAAGAGGAAGCCAAUCGCCUGGCUGAGGAGCUGGUGGCUGAGGAGGAGCGCAUGAAACAGAAAGCAGAGAAAAAGCGACUCAAGAAGAAGCGUCAAAAGGAACGGAAGCGACAGGAGCGUUUGGAGCAGUACUGUGGGGAGCCCAAGGCCAGCACUACCUCAGAUGGAGAAGAGAGCCCCCCAUCCAGCCCUGGAAACCCAGUUCAGGGACAGUGUGGUGAAGAAGAGGACUCACUGGAUCUAUCUAGCACUUUUGUGUCUCUGGCUUUGCGCAAGGUUGGGGAUUGGCCCCUCAGUGCCCGCAGA